Natranaerobius trueperi is the source of this 73-nucleotide non-coding RNA. The record is from Rfam. NCBI's taxonomy places the organism in Bacteria, Bacillati, Bacillota, Clostridia, Natranaerobiales, Natranaerobiaceae.
UAAGCAUGGUCGAGAGGCUAUGUUGAACAGCAGACGUCAUAGUACUUGGUAGCUUAAGAUAUAAAGGAAGGAC